AUUUUUUGAGCAUUGUAUAUUCUGCAAAUAUAUUGGAAAAAUGUGCUCAGCAGGUUACUGCAUUACUGUGCUAAUUUCUACCAUUGUUAGGUGGGCAACGUACAGUACUUUCUGCUACGCCAGUGUCAUUGAACAGCAAUUAAACGCUAACAUGAGCAUGAAAUAAUGAGGCUAACGUAAGUUUAGCUAAAUCACCUCUGUAGUUUGUAGCUACCAGGGUCUGGUUGGACUGCAAAUGAACACGUGCUUAAACCGCUUGAAAUGCUUGAGGUGUCAUACACUCGAGAACCUAGGUUGUGUAUUGUCUGUCAAAGUUUAAUAGCAAGUCAUACGUUCUAUAGUAACUAAGUAAGUUAACUAGCUAACGUUAAUUUAAGAUAAUGGCAAACAGAAAUAAGAUGCCAAGUACUCAGUUAAAGCCAAUUUACGUACCACGGUUUGGUUCUCAAUCGUCACGGUGUAGCAUCAGUCAAAGAGAUGCACAGCAAAUGAAAGAGUAUCACGUCGAGUUGCCAACCGUAAAGGGAAGAAUUCAAGAUGGGUUAUCAACCACAAAAAAACUCAAAUUGAUAAAAAUGAACAGCAAGCUCGCAAUUUCCAAGACGAAACAACACUUUCAACGAAGGUCGAUCACUCCAGAGAAAAUGAACGCUCAAGGAGGAGAGGGAUCACAUAAACAACUGCGAUGGGGACGUCCUGGCGUUGGCCAAAGAGCCUCGUUUCUUCCCUGUUCCUCCAAUACAGGCAGUCCUCAGAGCAUGCUGAGUGAAGACAUCUUCACCUUCUCACAGAGAAUCAAACACACAUCAACCAAUGAACCACAGUGGGCAAUCAGACAGGCUGUGUUGAAAACCAUUGGCCGGAUGCUGCAGGAGAACAGGAGAAUCAGAGAGAGACUAGUCUCAUUUAGCCAGAGCAGUCAGGUUAUAGAAUUAACCUAGACUGAAGCCUAGAUUAUAAUCAGGGAUUCAUCAUGCAUAUUGGUCUCUUCCUCCACCAAACUCAAGAAUGGAAUAGUUUUUUAUAGUUAAGUGUUGUUAUGAUUUAGGUUUAUAAACAAAUAUAAUGUGCUGAAUUAUGCUGAAAAAUGUCAUUGAGUUGGUAUGGGCAGUGUUUUAGGGGUUAUUGAGAGUGGAAUUUCUUCUCUAUGUUAAGUUGCCUUUAUAGGAUGACAUUGGAAAGUAGUUCUGGAUUAAAUAAAUUUAUUGAGGAUGUUGUGUCUUACUUAUGUUGUUUCACAGCCUCCACAAGUUUCUUCAGCUCUUCUAGCAAAGUUGUUGUCUUUCUCCAGUAGAGGGAAGUAUCAUUCUG
Esox lucius (northern pike) is the source of this 1311-nucleotide long non-coding RNA. Lineage: Eukaryota; Metazoa; Chordata; Actinopteri; Esociformes; Esocidae. The record is from Ensembl.